This 322-nucleotide unclassified non-coding RNA is filed under the name uncultured fungus. Its description in RNAcentral is "sequence contains ITS1". The stretch from base 1 to 106 matches the Rfam family "5.8S ribosomal RNA", at positions 49 to 154 of the family's 154-position model. The record is from RNAcentral. Lineage: Eukaryota; Fungi.
UAAAGUGCGAUAUCUAAUGUGAUUUGCAUGAAUCUGUGAGUCAUCUAGUCUUUGAACGCAACUUGCACCUCUCGAGAAAUCGAGCGGUAUGUCUGUUUGAGAACCAUGAACCUCUUUGCUCAUAUCUUUCUUUAUGUUAUGAUGUGGCAGAUAUGAGACACUUUUUUUUUUGUGUCUUGAAAUAAAGCAUGCAGGGCUUGUGAGCGUGUGCCAUGUGCUAGAGAUCGCAAGAUCUUGUCAUGGUGUACGAGAACGGCCGAACUUUUAUACAUUUAUAAUAAUCCGAGGUCUCAAAUCAGGCAAGAUUACCCGCUGAACUUAA